AUAAAGGUCUACAAAGGAGUGCAUGUCGGUCCCUUUUUCUUUUCAGUGUCGUCAAAUCGAAUCUCUCAACCAUGUUUUAUUUGAAUGCCUUCUUGCAGUCCAAGUUUGGUAGUGAAGUAAUAUUGAUUUAUCCAAUAUUAAUGAGACUGAGUUGAUGAUUUAUCUACUGAAUAUUGCGGAUUAUGACAAAGACUAGAAGGUUUUGGAAUGGUGUUUGGAUAGAGUUUAAGCACAUGUUAUAUCAUACUAGAAUGUAAUUAAAUGACAGAUGCCAUCAGUUGCUUCUUGGUUAAAAUGCAACAUUGAUGCUGUAGCUAGUUGUGCAAGGCUCGAGUAGGGAUAUGGCAUUAUUAUUCGAAACGAGAAAGGUGCCUUCAUCAAAGGGCUCACUGGCCACGUUCAUGGAACUGAUGUUGUUGUUAUGGUAGAAGCCUUGGCUAUUCGAGAAGUGCUUUCUUGGUUGAAAGUUUGCAUCUUGACAUAGUGAUUAUUGAGAUGGAUUGCCUUGAAGUUUACCGUGCUAUUUUCACAUCAAACUGAGUUUGAAAAUAUUAUUAGAUAUUGCGUUUCGAUUAUAAAUUAACUCAACAAUGUGUCGUUGUUUUGAGUACUCAGGAAAGCUAAUAAAGCGACUCAUGCUUUAGCAGGGGUAGCUUUAUCUUAUACUCGUCUGCAUAAUUGGAAACUUUACUCAGCCUUCUUAUCUGAUGUUCUUUCUGUUGUUGCUUUGAUAAAAAAUGUAGGAUUAUACAAGAGUGGUAUAGGGAGAACCUGUUGGCUUGGGUUAGUUUGUUCUUAACCCUCAUUUCUUUGUUGAUUUGUUUUGUUUAAUACAGGUAUUUUACCUUUGAAAAAACAAA
Long non-coding RNA from Gossypium arboreum, 860 nucleotides. RefSeq lists it as uncharacterized. NCBI's taxonomy places the organism in Eukaryota, Viridiplantae, Streptophyta, Magnoliopsida, Malvales, Malvaceae. The transcript is spliced from 2 exons. The record is from RefSeq and is a predicted model, not a curated record.